RNAcentral lists this ribosomal RNA (247 nucleotides) under uncultured bacterium. Its description in RNAcentral is "partial 16S ribosomal RNA". It matches the Rfam family "Bacterial small subunit ribosomal RNA", at positions 530 to 776 of the family's 1533-position model. The record is from RNAcentral.
GGGGGCUAGCGUUGUUCGGAAUUACUGGGCGUAAAGCGCACGUAGGCGGCUUUGUAAGUUAGGGGUGAAAGCCCGGGGCUCAACUCCGGAAUUACCUUUAAGACUGCAUCGCUAGAAUUGUGGAGAGGUAAGUGGAAUUCCGAGUGUAGAGGUGAAAUUCGUAGAUAUUCGGAAGAACACCAGUGGCGAAGGCGACUUACUGGACACAUAUUGACGCUGAGGUGCGAAAGCGUGGGGAGCAAACAGG